GUAAUGCAGGGACAGCAGCUUCAAGACUUCAAGCUAUGUGCUUAAAGUCAGAUGAUCUGCUUGGACUCUGGGUAGGCUUAACAUUUUGACCUGUCUGAACCAAUAAGUCCAAUUUCUGCCUUCUAGGAGGGUGAGUGGUUGAUAAAGUUUUCAAGUGCUGGGAUGAUAUGUGGUGUGAUGCUCAUCUGCCAUCUGUCUGCGCCAAGAAAAUCUGAUCAUUCUUGGACUGACACUGGAGCAUGAAAUUCCCAUAAAACACACACUGAUAUAUGAUGGUGUUUGUGUUUUGCUCGCUCUUACUUCAUUUCGUUUUGGAGCAUUAUAUUUUUCCUCUCUCUGUCAUAACAAAAUGACCAGCCAACACAAGCUGGGCUGUCCAUGAGGCAGCCUUUAAAGCAGUCCUGUCUUUAAUAAGAGCAGGCUAGUUACCAAAGGUCUGGUAGUGAUUUUUUUUUCUCUGCAAAGAAAACUUCUUCUUUCCUCUUGUUUAUUAUUUGCAACAAUAAAGCUUCAAGCAAGCAUG
Long non-coding RNA from Oreochromis aureus, 523 nucleotides. RefSeq lists it as uncharacterized. Lineage: Eukaryota; Metazoa; Chordata; Actinopteri; Cichliformes; Cichlidae. The record is from RefSeq and is a predicted model, not a curated record. The transcript has 2 exons.